CUGGCUAAGCAGGCUCCAAUUUCUUAAAACCAUAUAUUCUAUGAGACCACAACUUUUUAACCACAUAUUUCAUCACAUUUUAUAUCCAAACCAAACAUGGGUACAAAAGUAACAUUUUCACAGUACAGUUACAAUUUUUUCUUCCUUUUCUGAAAUCAAUAUUUCAUUGCAUCAAUUUCCAUGUAUUGUAUCUAUAUGGUACUGUGUCAGAUUGGCUUUUGCGUGUAAGAAAACCCAUAAAUAAGGUGAUUUUGUACCUCCCUCCACGCAAUUUCACACACAUUGUCGAGCUUCCUGACUCACAUGAGCAAUUACUAGUUUCAUAUUCUUUGGGAAAAAGAAGACACGAUGAGGCCCAAGAGCCAAAAACAAACUACCCACCCCUAGUAUGUCUCGUGCAGCUAUAAAAUGAAGAUUAAC
Molecule: long non-coding RNA, 420 nt
Filed under: Olea europaea (common olive)
Lineage: Eukaryota; Viridiplantae; Streptophyta; Magnoliopsida; Lamiales; Oleaceae
Description: long non-coding RNA (OEUR_LNC006138)
Source: RNAcentral